AUGUCCCAUAUGCAAGUACGUGCGUGCAUGUGCCAUGCAAAAUUAUUUUGCUAUUGCAUAAUGACUUGCCUUUGCUUAUAUAGCCUGCAUCAAACCUUAUUAGUUUUUUUUCCGCAAUGGUGCACAAAAACUUGUCGAACACCUUUGACUCUACAGAACAGCUCAAGUGUUCAGCCGCCGCCGGCGCGCUCCCAAUGCUCCGCUCGUCCACCAGCAGCAACGUCCUUGUCACCAAUGGACACUCAUCGAUGGUGGCGCGGGGCUCAACGUCCUCUCCAUCGAGACGCACCAGGUGCCGUACGACCAACUCCUCCCCAUCAAGCCCUUCUCAGGAGUGACUGA
RNAcentral lists this ribosomal RNA (342 nucleotides) under Triticum aestivum (bread wheat). RNAcentral's name for it is "partial small subunit ribosomal RNA". Lineage: Eukaryota; Viridiplantae; Streptophyta; Magnoliopsida; Poales; Poaceae. The record is from RNAcentral.